AUGAAGUUGGAAUCGCUAGUAAUCGCGGAUCAGCAUGCCGCGGUGAAUACGUUCCCGGGCCUUGUACACACCGCCCGUCACACCAUGAGAGUCGGGAACACCCGAAGUCCGUAGUCUAACUUUCACGAGAGGACGCGGCCGAAGGUGGGUUCGAUAAUUGGGGUGAAGUCGUAACAAGGUAUC
RNAcentral lists this ribosomal RNA (183 nucleotides) under uncultured bacterium. RNAcentral's name for it is "partial 16S ribosomal RNA". It matches the Rfam family "Bacterial small subunit ribosomal RNA", at positions 1320 to 1500 of the family's 1533-position model. The record is from RNAcentral.